This 440-nucleotide ribosomal RNA is filed under the name uncultured bacterium. Its description in RNAcentral is "partial 16S ribosomal RNA". It matches the Rfam family "Bacterial small subunit ribosomal RNA", at positions 338 to 795 of the family's 1533-position model. The record is from RNAcentral.
CCUACGGGUGGCAGCAGUGGGGAAUAUUGCUCAAUGGGGGACACCCUGAUGCAGCGACGCCGCGUGAGUGAUGAAGUAUUUCGGUAUGUAAAGCUCUUUCUGCAGGGAAGUAAAUGACGGUACCUGAAUAAGAAGCUCUGGCUAACUCCGUGCCAGCAGCCGCGGCAAUACGUAGGGGGCAAGCGUUAUCCGGAUUUACUGGGUGUAAAGGGAGCGUAGACGGCAGAACAAGUAUGGAGGUAAAGGCCGGGGCUUAACCGCGGAACUGCAUUGGAUACGGUGCAGCUAGAGUGAAGGAGAGGUAAGUGGAAUUCCUGGUGUAGCGGUGAAAUGCUUAGAUAUUAGGAGGAACACCAGUGGCGAAGGCGGCUUACUGGACUGUAACUGACGUUGAGGCUCGAAAGCGUGGGUAGCAAACAGGAUUAGAUACCCGAGUAGUC